UAGUGGCGGACGGGUGAGUAACGCGUGGGAAUCUGCCCUCAGGAGGGGGAUAACGGUUGGAAACGACCGCUAAUACCCCAUAUGCCGAGAGGUGAAACGAAAUUCGCCUGAGGAUGAGCCCGCGUCUGAUUAGCUAGUUGGUGGGGUAAAGGCCUACCAAGGCAUCGAUCAGUAGCUGGUCUGAGAGGAUGAUCAGCCACACUGGGACUGAGACACGGCCCAGACUCCUACGGGAGGCAGCAGUGGGGAAUUUCCCGCAAUGGGCGCAAGCCUGACGGAGCAACGCCGCGUGAGGGAUGAAGGCCUCUGGGCUGUAAACCUCUUUUCUCAAGGAAGAAGAACUGACGGUACUUGAGGAAUAAGCCACGGCUAA
This 373-nucleotide ribosomal RNA is filed under the name uncultured bacterium. RNAcentral's name for it is "bacterial SSU rRNA". It matches the Rfam family "Bacterial small subunit ribosomal RNA", at positions 93 to 500 of the family's 1533-position model. The record is from RNAcentral.